Molecule: ribosomal RNA, 1932 nt
Filed under: Salmonella enterica subsp. enterica serovar Abony
Lineage: Bacteria; Pseudomonadati; Pseudomonadota; Gammaproteobacteria; Enterobacterales; Enterobacteriaceae
Description: partial 23S ribosomal RNA
Rfam family: Bacterial large subunit ribosomal RNA
Source: RNAcentral
UCAUCUCCGGGGGUAGAGCACUGUUUCGGCUAGGGGGCCAUCCCGGCUUACCAACCCGAUGCAAACUGCGAAUACCGGAGAAUGUUAUCACGGGAGACACACGGCGGGUGCUAACGUCCGUCGUGAAGAGGGAAACAACCCAGACCGCCAGCUAAGGUCCCAAAGUCAUGGUUAAGUGGGAAACGAUGUGGGAAGGCCCAGACAGCCAGGAUGUUGGCUUAGAAGCAGCCAUCAUUUAAAGAAAGCGUAAUAGCUCACUGGUCGAGUCGGCCUGCGCGGAAGAUGUAACGGGGCUAAACCAUGCACCGAAGCUGCGGCAGCGACACUCAGGUGUUGUUGGGUAGGGGAGCGUUCUGUAAGCCUGUGAAGGUGUGUCGUGAGGCAUGCUGGAGGUAUCAGAAGUGCGAAUGCUGACAUAAGUAACGAUAAAGCGGGUGAAAAGCCCGCUCGCCGGAAGACCAAGGGUUCCUGUCCAACGUUAAUCGGGGCAGGGUGAGUCGACCCCUAAGGCGAGGCCGAAAGGCGUAGUCGAUGGGAAACGGGUUAAUAUUCCCGUACUUGGUGUUACUGCGAAGGGGGGACGGAGAAGGCUAUGUUGGCCGGGCGACGGUUGUCCCGGUUUAAGCGUGUAGGUGUGUGUUCCAGGUAAAUCCGGUUCACUUUAACACUGAGGCGUGACGACGAGGCACUACGGUGCUGAAGCAACAAAUGCCCUGCUUCCAGGAAAAGCCUCUAAGCAUCAGGUAACAUCAAAUCGUACCCCAAACCGACACAGGUGGUCAGGUAGAGAAUACCAAGGCGCUUGAGAGAACUCGGGUGAAGGAACUAGGCAAAAUGGUGCCGUAACUUCGGGAGAAGGCACGCUGACACGUAGGUGAAGUGAUUUACUCAUGGAGCUGAAGUCAGUCGAAGAUACCAGCUGGCUGCAACUGUUUAUUAAAAACACAGCACUGUGCAAACACGAAAGUGGACGUAUACGGUGUGACGCCUGCCCGGUGCCGGAAGGUUAAUUGAUGGGGUCAGCGCAAGCGAAGCUCCUGAUCGAAGCCCCGGUAAACGGCGGCCGUAACUAUAACGGUCCUAAGGUAGCGAAAUUCCUUGUCGGGUAAGUUCCGACCUGCACGAAUGGCGUAAUGAUGGCCAGGCUGUCUCCACCCGAGACUCAGUGAAAUUGAACUCGCUGUGAAGAUGCAGUGUACCCGCGGCAAGACGGAAAGACCCCGUGAACCUUUACUAUAGCUUGACACUGAACAUUGAGCCUUGAUGUGUAGGAUAGGUGGGAGGCUUUGAAGCGUGGACGCCAGUCUGCGUGGAGCCGACCUUGAAAUACCACCCUUUAAUGUUUGAUGUUCUAACGUGGACCCGUAAUCCGGGUUGCGGACAGUGUCUGGUGGGUAGUUUGACUGGGGCGGUCUCCUCCUAAAGAGUAACGGAGGAGCACGAAGGUUGGCUAAUCCUGGUCGGACAUCAGGAGGUUAGUGCAAUGGCAUAAGCCAGCUUGACUGCGAGCGUGACGGCGCGAGCAGGUGCGAAAGCAGGUCAUAGUGAUCCGGUGGUUCUGAAUGGAAGGGCCAUCGCUCAACGGAUAAAAGGUACUCCGGGGAUAACAGGCUGAUACCGCCCAAGAGUUCAUAUCGACGGCGGUGUUUGGCACCUCGAUGUCGGCUCAUCACAUCCUGGGGCUGAAGUAGGUCCCAAGGGUAUGGCUGUUCGCCAUUUAAAGUGGUACGCGAGCUGGGUUUAGAACGUCGUGAGACAGUUCGGUCCCUAUCUGCCGUGGGCGCUGGAGAACUGAGGGGGGCUGCUCCUAGUACGAGAGGACCGGAGUGGACGCAUCACUGGUGUUCGGGUUGUCAUGCCAAUGGCACUGCCCGGUAGCUAAAUGCGGAAGAGAUAAGUGCUGAAAGCAUCUAAGCACGAAACUUGCCCCGA